GUUUUUCUCUGCAAGCCUCAUGAAUUCAGGUUCAUUCCAGAGAUUUUUUCUCUUCAUGUCUCAUGAAUUGUGGUUAAUUCCUAGAGAGUUUUUCUCUGUAAGUCUCAUGAAUUGGGGUUCAUUACAGGGAGUGAGUUUUUCCCUGCAAGUCUCAUGAAUUCAGGUUCAUUCUAGAGAGUUUUUCCCUGCAAGUCUCAUGAAUUCAGGUUCAUUCCAGAGAGUUUUUCUGUAGAAAAAUUCCACAGAAUUGGUGGCCAGUUUUUCCAUCAAAAAAUUCCAUAGAAUUGGGAGCGCUGGUCAGGAGUUUUUCCAGGUUAGAUGGGCCGUGUGGUGUGGAAAAACUCCUGGCCUUAAUUAUAGGCUGCAACUAGAGCCAGGAGCUCCUCCCUCUCCUGAUCAGGAUAAACUCCAGGACCCAUCCAUAAAGACUGAUAACUGCAAACGCAGAACUUUCCCAAUACAGAGACUAUGGAUGGCCUUGGCUACAUCCCGAAUGGCACCCUAUUUCCCUUUAUAGUGCACACUACUUUUGACCAGGGCCCAUAAGGCUAUGGUUGAAAGUAGUGCACUAUAUAGGGAAUAGGGUAUCAUUUGACACACAAGACCAUGAAUGGCCACGAGUCAGAAUACACCUAAAGGGAUUACAUUUGCAAAGCUAUAAUGUCAUUUUGUAAACCCAAUAUAUAUAAUUUGAUAUCUAAUUGUACUUUUUUUUUGUGUGUAUUCCUGUGAAGAAAUAUAUAUUCUGUAUAAUAAUAUUUUAGUACUUUUAAAGGUUCAUUGAAUAAGAACCAGGGAUUCACUGACGGCAUCUUUAACUGAUUCUGAAUAUAUUCUAUCAAACUUUUCUCUUUUCAUAACGUGGGCUUCGUCCAAAAAUGGCACCCUAUUCCUUUUCAUAGUGCACUACCCAGUCUUCAUUGUGAUAGGGGAUAGGGUGUCAUUUGUGACACAGAUAUGGGAUGUAAAAUGUACUACCAGUGACUUGAGCCAUGUGGGCCCUGUAAUACAUGGGGUAGAGGGUUCCAACCGUGGUCAACUGUGAACAGGAAGUGGCUGUCAUACUUCCAGAUGACACCGUAAUUCCCCUUUUAUUGUGCACUACUACCACAUAAUGCUCUGGUCAGACGUAGAGUACUGUAACAGGGAUAUAUACCCCUCCCCCCCCACCACCCAGACCGAUCGUGGUGUCAUGUUUUGAGUGAUGAUGCAGGUGUUUGUUUUAUAUCUACCACAGACACUUUACUGGUCCUGUUGUUACUACUACUACUUAUCGUCUGGGAUUGAACGGCAAGCCACGUCUUACCCAUUUAUUUUUAGAUUUUUGAUCUAAUAUUUAAUAAUCUAUUGAGGGGGGGG
This 1359-nucleotide long non-coding RNA is filed under the name Salmo salar (Atlantic salmon). Its description in RNAcentral is "lncRNA (ENSSSAG00000118881.1)". The record is from RNAcentral. Lineage: Eukaryota; Metazoa; Chordata; Actinopteri; Salmoniformes; Salmonidae.